Molecule: long non-coding RNA, 217 nt
Filed under: Papio anubis (olive baboon)
Lineage: Eukaryota; Metazoa; Chordata; Mammalia; Primates; Cercopithecidae
Description: lncRNA (ENSPANG00000045917.1)
Source: RNAcentral
UGAGCUGGGAAAGCUCUUCCUCCUCCGAUCCUCAUAAGGAUGUGAUGUCUGGAGCUACAGCAGCUGUCUGUUGGCGCUGGUGGUGAAUGAAUUGGGUCGUGAUGAAUUCAGUGUAAAUGAGCCUGAGAUUCAGUUCUCUUGCUUUAGCGUUGACUUGGGAGCAGAGUUGAAGUCGGAGCCCUGUCCUUCUGAAGAAAGGCUUCUGGAACCCCUGCUG